CCUCGUUAAAAGAAACUUCCUGAAGCUUAAUUAUUCCUCCCGGAAAUCAUCUUAACAGACAGACAGACACAAAUCGAGAUCUCGACAAUACAUAGAUCGCGCGAAAGACUGGGUCGAGUGGACUCUGGAGAAACCACCGCGUGUCAAGAAUAGGGUGCUGCUUUCGGCAGCAAUGAUUUUUCCCCUCAAUUUAAAAAAAUUAAAUCGAUACGUUUCUUAGAAAAUUAAAAAACGUCAAAAAUCGUUUUUAAAAAUUU
Paramuricea clavata is the source of this 257-nucleotide non-coding RNA. Lineage: Eukaryota; Metazoa; Cnidaria; Anthozoa; Malacalcyonacea; Plexauridae. The record is from the annotation of a GenBank genome assembly.